This 282-nucleotide ribosomal RNA is filed under the name uncultured prokaryote. RNAcentral's name for it is "partial 16S ribosomal RNA". The record is from RNAcentral.
CCCUAUGGGGUGCCGGUCGGACAGGAGCUCGGCCGUUACAGCUUCAGGAACAACGUGGAUGAGUACAAGGAAGACGGGUCAUGCAUGAUUGUUGUCAUGACCGAUGCACCUCUGACUUCAAGGAACCUUAAGAGGCUUGGUUCCAGGGCUUUUGCCGGCAUGAUGCGGACAGGAGCAUCCGGCUCCAACGGCAGCGGCGAUUAUGUAAUCGCCGUAUCCACGGCUGAGGAACUGCGUAUCCCCUACUCUUCCGGAUCGAUAUACGAGGAUUGGCGGGAGGGC